UCCACAUUCUGACUGUCAGUCAGUCUACCGAGCAAUUUCAUUCGCUCAGUGGAAGAUCUUCCCUUUGUCGA
This 71-nucleotide microRNA precursor is filed under the name Bombyx mori (domestic silkworm). Its description in RNAcentral is "mir-2774 microRNA precursor family". It matches the Rfam family "mir-2774 microRNA precursor family". Lineage: Eukaryota; Metazoa; Arthropoda; Insecta; Lepidoptera; Bombycidae. The record is from Rfam by way of RNAcentral.